This 439-nucleotide ribosomal RNA is filed under the name uncultured bacterium. RNAcentral's name for it is "partial 16S ribosomal RNA". It matches the Rfam family "Bacterial small subunit ribosomal RNA", at positions 339 to 795 of the family's 1533-position model. The record is from RNAcentral.
CUACGGGUCGCUCCAGUGGGGAAUCUUAGACAAUGGGGGAAACCCUGAUCUAGCCAUGCCGCGUGAGCGACGACGGCCCUAGGGUUGUAAAGCUCUUUCAGCAGGGAAGAUAAUGACGGUACCUGCAGAAGAAGUCCCGGCUAACUCCGUGCCAGCAGCCGCGGUAAUACGGAGGGGACUAGCGUUGUUCGGAAUUACUGGGCGUAAAGCGCGCGUAGGCGGAUUGUUAAGUCGGGGGUGAAAUCCCGGGGCUCAACCCCGGAACUGCCCUCGAUACUGGCAGUCUUGAGUUCGAGAGGGGUGAGUGGAAUUCCGAGUGUAGAGGUGAAAUUCGUAGAUAUUCGGAGGAACACCAGUGGCGAAGGCGGCUCACUGGCUCGAUACUGACGCCGAGGUGCGAAAGCGUGGGGAGCAAACAGGAUUAGAUACCCCGGUAGUC